RNAcentral lists this unclassified non-coding RNA (260 nucleotides) under Trichoderma sp. RNAcentral describes it as "partial internal transcribed spacer region". The stretch from base 1 to 46 matches the Rfam family "Eukaryotic small subunit ribosomal RNA", at positions 1786 to 1831 of the family's 1831-position model. Lineage: Eukaryota; Fungi; Ascomycota; Sordariomycetes; Hypocreales; Hypocreaceae. The record is from RNAcentral.
AAGUCGUAACAAGGUCUCCGUUGGUGAACCAGCGGAGGGAUCAUUACCGAGUUUACAACUCCCAAACCCAAUGUGAACCAUACCAAACUGUUGCCUCGGCGGGGUCACGCCCCGGGUGCGUCGCAGCCCCGGAACCAGGCGCCCGCCGGAGGGACCAACCAAACUCUUUACUGUAGUCCCCUAGCGGACGUUAUUUCUUACAGCUCUGAGCAAAAAUUCAAAAUGAAUCAAAACUUUCAACAACGGAUCUCUUGGUUCUG